Molecule: non-coding RNA, 682 nt
Filed under: Pan troglodytes (chimpanzee)
Lineage: Eukaryota; Metazoa; Chordata; Mammalia; Primates; Hominidae
Source: RNAcentral
GAAGGCCUGCAGCUUGUCCUAGAACCAUGCAAGAGGGACCAUUGAAGCUGAAGGUGGAUUGCUGUUGGGUGGAAAGGAUGUAGUCACUCAAAAAUGCUGCCAGAAGAAGAGCAAGAGAAAAGAACAAUAGCUUCUCCCGUGAGACAAUCUCAUCCCUCCACUAGUGUCUUCUCUUGGAAUGAUCUAUGGUGCUCUGAGUGGGUACAAAACAUGAUGGCAAGUGUAUGGUGCUGAAUCAAGGUAAAAGAGGAAAUGAUUAUGUACUCACAGAGGGUGGAACAUAAAGGUGAUUGGAAAGAAUCAGGAUGUCAGAUUGUGUUGGAUUAGUCUUCCAGCCUUCACUGAGGUCUACAGUAUAGACACUGGAUUAGCUUAAAUUGAACGUUCUGCAAAUAAGAGAAGGUCAUGAGAUACCUGAUAUUCUUGUCCAAGAGGAUGUGGUAUCUACAUAUAGGAGGAAAGAUGUACGUGUACAUGUGGUGGCUGAACCAUUUGAUUGUGGAUCAGGAUACAUAAGCAGCAAGUUCAAAGACUGAAGGAACAAGGAAUAUCAGCUCAUAAAGAUGAGAAAGAAUCAGAGCAAGAACUCUGGCAACUCAAAAGCCAGAGUGUCUUCUUACCUCCAAACAACCAUAUUAUUUCGUUAGCAACGAUUCUUAACCAGACUGAGAUUGCUGAAGUA